GCUUAACCAUGCAAGUCGAACGAUGAAGCCCAGCUUGCUGGGUGGAUUAGUGGCGAACGGGUGAGUAACACGUGAGCAACGUGCCCGAAACUCUGGAAUAACCACCGGAAACGGUGGCUAAUACUGGAUAUGUGCCAGGGAGGCAUCUCCUCUGGUUGGAAAGAUUUUUCGGUUUCGGAUCGGCUCACGGCCUAUCAGCUUGUUGGCGGGGUAAAGGCCCACCAAGGCGACGACGGGUAGCCGGCCUGAGAGGGUGACCGGCCACACUGGGACUGAGACACGGCCCAGACUCCUACGGGAGGCAGCAGUGGGGAAUAUUGCACAAUGGGCGCAAGCCUGAUGCAGCAACGCCGCGUGAGGGAUGACGGCCUUCGGGUUGUAAACCUCUUUUAGUAGGGAAGAAGCGAAAGUGACGGUACCUGCAGAAAAAGCACCGGCUAACUACGUGCCAGCAGCCGCGGUAAUACGUAGGGUGCAAGCGUUGUCCGGAAUUAUUGGGCGUAAAGAGCUCGUAGGCGGUUUGUCGCGUCUGCUGUGAAAUCCCGAGGCUCAACCUCGGGCCUGCAGUGGGUACGGGCAGACUUGAGUGCGGUAGGGGAGAUUGGAAUUCCUGGUGUAGCGGUGGAAUGCGCAGAUAUCAGGAGGAACACCGAUGGCGAAGGCAGAUCUCUGGGCCGUUACUGACGCUGAGGAGCGAAAGCAUGGGGAGCGAACAGGAUUAGAUACCCUGGUAGUCCAUGCCGUAAACGUUGGGCGCUAGAUGUGGGGACCAUUCCACGGUUUCUGUGUCGUAGCUAACGCAUUAAGCGCCCCGCCUGGGGAGUACGGCCGCAAGGCUAAAACUCAAAGGAAUUGACGGGGGCCCGCACAAGCGGCGGAGCAUGCGGAUUAAUUCGAUGCAACGCGAAGAACCUUACCAAGGCUUGACAUAUACCGGAAACUUCCAGAGAUGGUUGCCCUGCUUGCAGUCGGUAUACAGGUGGUGCAUGGUUGUCGUCAGCUCGUGUCGUGAGAUGUUCGGUUAAGUCCGGCAACGAGCGCAACCCUCGUCCUAUGUUGCCAGCACGUUAUGGUGGAACUCAUGGGAUACUGCCGGGUCACACGAGAAAGGUGGGGAUGACGUCAAUCAUCAUGCCCCUAAGUCUGGGCUUCCGCAU
RNAcentral lists this ribosomal RNA (1157 nucleotides) under Gulosibacter sp. RNAcentral's name for it is "bacterial SSU rRNA". It matches the Rfam family "Bacterial small subunit ribosomal RNA", at positions 46 to 1223 of the family's 1533-position model. Lineage: Bacteria; Bacillati; Actinomycetota; Actinomycetes; Micrococcales; Microbacteriaceae. The record is from RNAcentral.